RNAcentral lists this ribosomal RNA (869 nucleotides) under uncultured bacterium. Its description in RNAcentral is "bacterial SSU rRNA". It matches the Rfam family "Bacterial small subunit ribosomal RNA", at positions 28 to 895 of the family's 1533-position model. The record is from RNAcentral.
GAUGAACGCUAGCGGCAGGCUUAAUACAUGCAAGUCGUGGGGCAGCACAGGUAGCAAUACUGGGUGGCGACCGGCAAACGGGUGCGGAACACGUACGCAACCUUCCUUUAAGCGGGGAAUAGCCCAGGGAAACUUGGAUUAAUACCCCAUAAGACAAUGGUGUGGCAUCACACAGUUGUUAAAGCUCCGGCACUUAAAGAUGGGCGUGCGGCUGAUUAGGUAGUUGGCGGGGUAACGGCCCACCAAGCCGACGAUCAGUAACUGGUGUGAGAGCACGACCAGUCACACGGGCACUGAGACACGGGCCCGACUCCUACGGGAGGCAGCAGUAAGGAAUAUUGGUCAAUGGACGCAAGUCUGAACCAGCCAUGCCGCGUGGAGGAUGAAGGCCCUCUGGGUUGUAAACUUCUUUUAUUGGGGAAGAAACCUGUUUUUUCUAAAGCAGUUGACGGUACCCGAUGAAUAAGCACCGGCUAACUCCGUGCCAGCAGCCGCGGUAAUACGGAGGGUGCAAGCGUUAUCCGGAUUCACUGGGUUUAAAGGGUGCGUAGGUGGGCAGGUAAGUCAGUGGUGAAAUCUCUGGGCUUAACCCAGAAACUGCCGUUGAUACUAUCUGUCUUGAAUGUAGUGGAGGUGAGCGGAAUAUGUCAUGUAGCGGUGAAAUGCUUAGAUAUGACAUAGAACAUCUAUUGCGAAGGCAGCUCGCUACACUAUUAUUGACACUGAGGCACGAAAGCGUGGGGAUCAAACAGGAUUAGAUACCCUGGUAGUCCACGCCCUAAACGAUGGAUACUCGACAUCAGCGAUACACUGUUGGUGUCUGAGCGAAAGCAUUAAGUAUCCCACCUGGGAAGUACGACCGCAAGGUG